This 500-nucleotide ribosomal RNA is filed under the name uncultured bacterium. RNAcentral's name for it is "bacterial SSU rRNA". It matches the Rfam family "Bacterial small subunit ribosomal RNA", at positions 28 to 526 of the family's 1533-position model. The record is from RNAcentral.
GAUGAACGCUGGCGGCGUGCCUAACACAUGCAAGUCGAACGGAACGAAAAGAGCUUGCUCUUGGCGUUUAGUGGCGGACGGGUGAGUAACACGUGAGUAACCUGCCUUUCAGAGGGGAAUAAUGUCUGGAAACGGACACUAAUACCGCAUAAUGUAUUUUAACCGCAUGGUUGAGAUACCAAAGGAGCAAUCCGCUGAAAGAUGGACUCGCGUCUGAUUAGCCAGUUGGCGGGGUAACGGCCCACCAAAGCGACGAUCAGUAGCCGGACUGAGAGGUUGAACGGCCACAUUGGGACUGAGAGACGGCCCAGAAUCAUACGGGAGGAAGCAGUGGGGGAUAUUGCACAAUGGGUGCAAGCCUGAUGCAGCAACGCCGCGUGAGUGAAGAAGUAUUUCGGUAUGUAAAGCUCUAUCAGCAGGGAAGAAAGACUCUUUAGGAGUGAUGACGGUACCUGACUAAGAAGCCCCGGCUAACUACGUGCCAGCCGCCGCGGUAAUAC